GACGAACGCUGGCGGCGUGCUUAACACAUGCAAGUCGAACGGAGCGAAUGAAAGCUUGCUUUUAUGAGCUUAGUGGCAAACGGGUGAGUAACACGUAGACAACCUGCCGACAGGAUGGGGACUACAUUCCGAAAGGAAUGCUAAUACCGAAUGAAGCGGAGGAGAGGCAUCUCUCCUCCGUGAAAGAUGGCCUCUAUUUAUAAGCUAUCACCUGUCGAUGGGUCUGCGUCUGAUUAGCUAGUUGGUGAGGUAACGGCUCACCAAGGCGACGAUCAGUAGCCGGUCUGAGAGGAUGAACGGCCACAUUGGGACUGAGACACGGCCCAGACUCCUACGGGAGGCAGCAGUGGGGAAUCUUCCGCAAUGGGCGCAAGCCUGACGGAGCAACGCCGCGUGAGUGAAGAAGGUCUUCGGAUCGUAAAGCUCUGUUGAUGGGGACGAACGUGCGAAGGGUGAAUAAUCCUUUGCAAUGACGGUACCUAUCGAGGAAGCC
RNAcentral lists this ribosomal RNA (493 nucleotides) under Centipeda infelix. RNAcentral describes it as "bacterial SSU rRNA". It matches the Rfam family "Bacterial small subunit ribosomal RNA", at positions 28 to 492 of the family's 1533-position model. Lineage: Bacteria; Bacillati; Bacillota; Negativicutes; Selenomonadales; Selenomonadaceae. The record is from RNAcentral.